Molecule: ribosomal RNA, 406 nt
Filed under: uncultured bacterium
Lineage: Bacteria
Description: partial 16S ribosomal RNA
Rfam family: Bacterial small subunit ribosomal RNA
Source: RNAcentral
AUUGAACGCUGGCGGCAGGCCUAACACAUGCAAGUCGAACGAGUGGCGGACGGGUGAGUAAUGUCUGGGAAACUGCCUGAUGGAGGGGGAUAACUACUGGAAACGGUAGCUACUACCGCAUACCAUCGGAUGUGCCCAGAGGGGAUUAGCUAGUGGGUGGGGUAACGGCUCACCUAGGCGACGAUCCCUAGCUGGUCUGAGAGGAUGACCAGCCACACUGGAACUGAGACACGGUCCAGACUCCUACGGGAGGCAGCAGUGGGGAAUAUUGCACAAUGGGCGAAAGCCUGAUGCAGCAAUGCCGCGUGUAUGAAGAAGGCCUUCGGGUUGUAAAGUACUUUCAGCGGGGAGGCGUUACCUGCAGAGGAAGCCCCGGCUAACUCCGUGCCAGCAGCCGCGGUAAUAC